RNAcentral lists this microRNA precursor (87 nucleotides) under Mus caroli (Ryukyu mouse). Its description in RNAcentral is "miRNA (MGP_CAROLIEiJ_G0007669.1)". Lineage: Eukaryota; Metazoa; Chordata; Mammalia; Rodentia; Muridae. The record is from RNAcentral.
CACGUGUGUAUAGUUUUGUGUACAUUUGCCUGUUUGUAUAUGAAUAUACAUAUCUAUACAUACAAUCAUAUACAGGCACACAAAGAC